GCUUUCUUCCCUUUGUUUUUCAAUGGUUAAAUUUGUUUAUCUUUGUUUUGUAAUAAUGAGGAACUAAACCCCCCCUUGGCUAGGGGGGGAUUCGAAACCAUGUUAAUGUUUGCAAUAUGAUUUGAUUACUUUUAAUUGCGUUUCAUAAGUUAUGAAUUCGAUUUACUUAUCUAUUUGAUUGAUAACAUGUUUAUGUAUGUUGAUUAGGGAUGCAUACUUUGUUUGCAUGCAUAAAUAUGAUGCUAGAGUAUAAGGGAAUUUCACCUAAUCGUUAUGAACUUAUAUUCAUAAGUAGUAAAAGUCGCUAGUC
Molecule: long non-coding RNA, 310 nt
Filed under: Malus domestica (apple)
Lineage: Eukaryota; Viridiplantae; Streptophyta; Magnoliopsida; Rosales; Rosaceae
Description: long non-coding RNA (MDOM_LNC016974)
Source: RNAcentral